UUCUUUCGGGAUGAAGACUUUUAUGACUGAGUGGCGGACGGGUGAGUAACGCGUGGGUGACCUGCCCCAUACCGGGGGAUAACAGCUGGAAACGGCUGCUAAUACCGCAUAAGCGCACAGAGCUGCAUGGCUCAGUGUGAAAAACUCCGGUGGUAUAAGAUGGACCCGCGUUGGAUUAGCUUGUUGGUGGGGUAACGGCCCACCAAGGCGACGAUCCAUAGCCGGCCUGAGAGGGUGAACGGCCACAUUGGGACUGAGACACGGCCCAGACUCC
Molecule: ribosomal RNA, 274 nt
Filed under: uncultured Blautia sp.
Lineage: Bacteria; Bacillati; Bacillota; Clostridia; Lachnospirales; Lachnospiraceae
Description: partial 16S ribosomal RNA
Rfam family: Bacterial small subunit ribosomal RNA
Source: RNAcentral